AAACAGCGUUCCGUUCCGUUCGCAAGGUCUGCGCCCCAGCCAUGGCCGCGCCCCCCGGCGACGCUCCCCUCACCGCCGCCAACAAUAUCUAGCCGUUCUUCGUCCUCCACAAGGCAUCCGCGGCCGCCGCUUCGUCGGUGCCGUCCUCCCGGGCUCGGCGGCGGAUUGAUGCCUCGCUCCCAUCUUCCCCCAACCCCAAAUCCGCGAAGAGGACCCGUGAUGUUGACGAAUCUGGUCCAGGAUCCAGUCCACCAUCGAUGAGGUCCUCAGGGGCAUCAACCUCAAGCUGUUCGACCAGGUGCUGCAGUGGGCGCAGGAAUCAUUCUCUGCGAUCCGCGCUGUUGCAAAACCAGAGCCUGUUGAGGCAGCUACUAGCAGAUGUUCCAGAUAUGGAGCAAAGGUUGUGCAGGAGCAAGUGAUGAGAAUGGCUGGUCAUCACACAGGGAAGAAAGAUAAUUUGAUUUCUAAUUGAUCAUUGUUUAUGUCAAGUGAGGCUAGUACUCGCACUGCAAUAUUGUUUUCAUGAGCUUUUUUGUUUAUUUAUUUUAUCCUAAUGUGGUCUAGUAUAUCCUAAUUGGCAAUGGACUGCGUAUCAGUGCAUUUGAAUUGAGUUCAUGUAUGUGUUUUCCAUCUUUUGACAAGAUAUAGUAGUCUAAUUCAGGAUGGAUUUUGCACCAUAGGACUGUUAUUACAUAGGAUUUAUAAAGUAUCACUUCAGUUGUAGAUAAUGGUAUUUACCAUGCCUGGUUGCUUAUAGUCAAGAACUACAGUUAGGAUGGGAUGUAGUACUUGUGUAUAAUUGAUUUCAUAUAAUGGCCACUUGACAUUAAACGAAAGUUCAGAGGUUGUGAUAUGCAGCAGUAUGUGAUUGCAGGACAUUCAUGCUGAGGCUGCCAAGAAGAGGUGUCACACCAUUGUUUCAAUUCAUCUAGGUUGCAUUACUACAGAGCAAGCUGAGCGUGAAAACCUAUGUGCUCUAUUGUUGGUGUUGCAGAUCCUGUUGGAGUGUUGGUGCUCUGGAACAUUUGCUCCUUUGCUUCUGGAAUCAAAUUGCUACUUGUAUCUGGUGCUUCGAUUUUUGGUGCUGUAGGUGUUGCUGGUGUGUAUUUUGGGCUGUUGUAUCUCUUUUCAAUGUAAACAUGAGAUUGUAUCUCUUAUUUUGGGCUGCUAAAAUUUGAUAUGUAUUUUGGGCUGUAAUGAUCAUUUUGGUGUAUGGUAUGAGAAAUUGGAUUGAAUUGAUGGGCUCAAUUUUCAA
This is a long non-coding RNA of Panicum virgatum (switchgrass), 1255 nucleotides long. RefSeq lists it as uncharacterized. Lineage: Eukaryota; Viridiplantae; Streptophyta; Magnoliopsida; Poales; Poaceae. The record is from RefSeq and is a predicted model, not a curated record. The transcript has 5 exons.